Arabis alpina (gray rockcress) is the source of this 117-nucleotide non-coding RNA. Lineage: Eukaryota; Viridiplantae; Streptophyta; Magnoliopsida; Brassicales; Brassicaceae. The record is from Rfam.
AUAUGUACAAUGAGAUCAAAAGCGAACUAUUCUUUCGCCUUUUAUUAAAGAAUACCGUCUUCUCUCUCUCUUAAGCAGCAUACGCCUAUUUUUGGAAACGGUUUCUAUAAAACCCAC